CGUAGGGGCGAGCGUUGUCCGGAAUUAUUGGGCGUAAAGCGCGCGCAGGCGGUCUCUUAAGUCUGAUGUGAAAGCCCACGGCUCAACCGUGGAGGGUCAUUGGAAACUGGGGGACUUGAGGGCAGGAGAGGAGAGCGGAAUUCCACGUGUAGCGGUGAAAUGCGUAGAGAUGUGGAGGAACACCAGUGGCGAAGGCGGCUCUCUGGCCUGUACCUGACGCUGAGGCGCGAAAGCGUGGGAGCAAACAGGAUU
This 252-nucleotide ribosomal RNA is filed under the name uncultured bacterium. Its description in RNAcentral is "partial 16S ribosomal RNA". It matches the Rfam family "Bacterial small subunit ribosomal RNA", at positions 526 to 779 of the family's 1533-position model. The record is from RNAcentral.